This is a long non-coding RNA of Dreissena polymorpha, 1415 nucleotides long. RefSeq lists it as uncharacterized. The transcript has 3 exons. NCBI's taxonomy places the organism in Eukaryota, Metazoa, Mollusca, Bivalvia, Myida, Dreissenidae. The record is from RefSeq and is a predicted model, not a curated record.
GGAAACUUUUGAACGAUUCCGGAUAAUACGCGAAACGGCACCGGAUCAUAUCAGAACAUAAACAAGACGAAAUGAUGGAUGUGCCUAAUAUUGUGAGCGAAAAAGUCAACAAGACCGCACUGAAACGGAAGAGAAAAUCGUCUCUGUGGUUACAUCAACCAAAAAAAAACUAAAUUCCGCGAAGAAAACUUACCUGCAACAGUACCUUCCACAUCAACAAGUAAAUCCGAUUCUGAGGCUGCAUUAUGUGAGAAACCAGAGUGUGUCCCAGCACUCCUACCUUAUUUACUUUACUAGACUCACGAAAUUUGGGACACAUUUUGCAAAACCGAAAUCAUGCAUUUGAUUCACCUACGAGGCUUGGAAAAAGACAACGAAAAUCGAAACGGUCAGAUAUCAGCAGACGGCAUGAGGUCGCAAGGGGCUGUUUGCCAAUUCGCAGCCACCACAAAUGCGAUGAGUCAAAGAUUCUGCCAACCACUCGUCUUGGUAUAACGUUGGAGGACACUAUGAAAGUGUAAAUUGUAUUAUGUCACCACAUUAGGAGAACAAAGUGUUCAUCACGGAACAGAACGAACUACUAUGUCACUAUUAAAAUAGUUGAUUAAAUAAAGGUCUUAACAUGGCAGUACAUACCUAACGCGGUGUUCGCAUGUGGUGCACUGUUCCUGUUCUAUUUCAACGACCAUUAGACAGUUGAAUUAAACUUUCAAUUUUAUCAACAUGUCCAAUGUAUUUUAUGAAAAUUUGGAGAAAGUGAAAUCUAAUAUCGCAAUAAUAACUACUAUUUGUUUCAACUUACCUUUUAGGGGUUUCGAAUGUAAUUUAGCAAAAAGCAUUUAAAUGAAUAUACAUUUGUAGUUUUUUUGAACGAGUCCCCCCUUCCAAUAUCAGCAAUGUGAUUUGAAUGUGCUCGCUACUUAGGCUUGUGUAUUGACAUAAAACAUAUUGUUUUGACAAGUGACAGGUUGUUAUAUGAUCUUUGGAUGUUUCAAUACACAGGAUAUUGGUUUUUUGAAACCGCUAAAGGAUCAGCCACGAAAGUGCUGUAGAUCAUACAGUGUCUUCUUUGUCUCACCACAUAGCACAUCCAAUGUGGCUGUAAGCUUGAUGGCAUUCUGCUUUUUAAUGUGUGACUGAUGAUCACAACACCGUGCAUUUUAUUUCAAGGUGUGAAAACAAAACAUUCUAAUCUAUUAGAGUUUAUAGUCUGGCAGCUGUGGCGCCAAAUAUUCUAUUGCAGAGUUAUUUAUGCUUCAAUCAUUUAUGAUUGCAUGGUUUUAACAGAAAGAUAUCCAUGUACCAGAUUAUAAAUACACUCCUGUUUAUGGAAAACAAACCUCAAAAAUCAUAAUUUAACAAGCAUAUUUUUCUCAUGUCAAAUACCAUCGUUUGUCUGAAGAUAAUUUGCAUAA